Molecule: ribosomal RNA, 253 nt
Filed under: uncultured bacterium
Lineage: Bacteria
Description: partial 16S ribosomal RNA
Rfam family: Bacterial small subunit ribosomal RNA
Source: RNAcentral
UACAGAGGGUGCGAGCGUUAAUCGGAAUUACUGGGCGUAAAGCGCGCGUAGGCGGCUUUGUAAGUCGGUUGUGAAAUCCCCGGGCUUAACCUGGGAACUGCAUCCGAGACUGCAUGGCUAGAGUAUGGGAGAGGGAAGUGGAAUUUCAGGUGUAGCGGUGAAAUGCGUAGAUAUCUGAAGGAACAUCAGUGGCGAAAGCGACUUCCUGGACCAAUACUGACGCUCAUGUGCGAAAGCGUGGGGAGCGAACAGG